RNAcentral lists this ribosomal RNA (501 nucleotides) under uncultured bacterium. RNAcentral's name for it is "partial 16S ribosomal RNA". It matches the Rfam family "Bacterial small subunit ribosomal RNA", at positions 30 to 523 of the family's 1533-position model. The record is from RNAcentral.
AUUGAACGCUGGCGGCAGGCUUAACACAUGCAAGUCGAGCGGAGCGAGGGUGCUUGCACCUUAGCUUAGCGGCGGACGGGUGAGUAAUGCUUAGGAAUCUGCCUAUUAGUGGGGGACAACAUUCCGAAAGGAAUGCUAAUACCGCAUACGCCCUACGGGGGAAAGCAGGGGAUCUUCGGACCUUGCGCUAAUAGAUGAGCCUAAGUCGGAUUAGCUAGUUGGUGGGGUAAAGGCCUACCAAGGCGACGAUCUGUAGCGGGUCUGAGAGGAUGAUCCGCAACACUGGGACUGAGACACGGCCCAGACUCCUACGGGAGGCAGCAGUGGGGAAUAUUGGACAAUGGGCGGAAGCCUGAUCCAGCCAUGCCGCGUGUGUGAAGAAGGCCUUUUGGUUGUAAAGCACUUUAAGCGAGGAGGAGGCUACUUAGAUUAAUACUCUAGGAUAGUGGACGUUACUCGCAGAAUAAGCACCGGCUAACUCUGUGCCAGCCGCCGCAGUAA